RNAcentral lists this long non-coding RNA (1300 nucleotides) under Olea europaea subsp. europaea. The record is from RNAcentral. Lineage: Eukaryota; Viridiplantae; Streptophyta; Magnoliopsida; Lamiales; Oleaceae.
GUGAUUUAAAUGUGAAAUUAAUGUCAUGUUAAUUUGCAGGAACUUGAUUGUUUACCCGAAUGGAAACAAAGACAAAGGUAUUACAGACCAUAUUUCCGUGUACUUGGCGAUGACACAAGUAGAGUCUCUCAAUCCCGGUUGGGAGAUUCAUGCAAAUUUUCGAUUGUUUUUGCUUGAUCAAAAUAAAGACAAUUAUUUUACACUUGAAGGUAUAGCUACCUACGCCUACCUAUUAAAUUUGAAAUUUAUUGAAGUUGGUUUAAUUAAUCGUGUGAUAAUCGAAUGAAACAGAUGAUGUUGGGAAACGGUUUCACAAAAUGAAGCUCGAGUAUGGGUUCGAUAAAUUUGUACCUCUCAGCCUCUUCAACGAUCCCGCAAAGGGAUAUCUGGUGAAUGACACUUGCGUGCUUGGAGUUGAGGUUUAUGUUACUCAAGAGAAACUCACUGGAAAGGGGGAGAUUUUGUCAAUGUUCAAAAAUGCCAUUAGCUACAAACACACUUGGAAAAUCGACAAUUUCUCCAAUUUAACUGACGAAUAUCUAGACUCCAAACCAUUCAAUGCUGCAAAUCAAACAUGGUAUACAUCUUUUUUAAUCAAACUCCAUUACAUCUCGACUAUUUUUCAUGAUAUGUAAAAGUAAGAUUCGUGGAUGCAGGAAGAUACAAUUAUAUCCGAAAGGGAUAGGCACUGGAAAGGACAACUAUAUAUCGUUAUAUCUGGCAUUGGCUGAACCUGAAAAACUUUCUCCUACAACUAAGAUAUACACAGAAUAUAGGUUACGUAUAUUAGACCAAAUUAAUGGAAUACACGACUCUGGUACAGGUAAAUCACGACGCAUAUAAUAUUGGCAUUGCGAAGAAUCAAAAAACCUCCCAAGAUAAGCACAAACAGUUCAAAAAAUAAUUCGUCUUUAUGUGCUUUUGCAGCUAAUCACUGGUACAGUGCAUCAAAUAGUUUAUCGGGUUGGCAAAGAUUUGCGCCUAUGAGUUCUUUUUAUAAGAAAUCGGCUGGUUUUCUGGUGAACAACAGCUGCAUUGUGGAAGCAGAGGUUACAGUCAAUGGCAUGGCUAAUGCACUUUGAGAACGCACUUCUACAUUGAAGUAAAGGAUACUGCUUAAUAAAUAUUUUCCUUUUUCAUGAAAUAAAAAGGGAAAUUGGUAGUCAUACUGCAAUAGAUCUUCAGUAUAAUUGUUGUGUGACAUGCUAAUUUACCACUACGUUAUGUAAUAAAAGUUUUGAAAUAAGAAAGUACAAGAUAUGGUCAUAGCCCUCAUUUUAUGAUUUUUCGCCUUUUAUUA